Molecule: long non-coding RNA, 2967 nt
Filed under: Capsicum annuum
Lineage: Eukaryota; Viridiplantae; Streptophyta; Magnoliopsida; Solanales; Solanaceae
Description: long non-coding RNA (CANN_LNC006999)
Source: RNAcentral
UUAAUUAGUUCUGCUACUAUAUAUUUUAAGAGUCCCAUAUAUUUUAAAAAGUCUAGUUAAUAUAAUAAAAAAUAAUUAAAUAAUAAAUUACAAAAAAAUAAAAAAUAAUUUUGUCUGAAGAAAAAUCUUUUAAUAAAGGCUAAAAGUUCAAAUCACAUUUCUAGGAAUUUUCACACUUUUAAUAUAUUAUAAAUAUAGAUUUUAGAUUGCAAUCAACCAACAAGUCACAUUUUAUUGAAGAAAACAAAAAUAAAUAAGAGCACAAGCAAUGGAAUGACAAUAAAUUCAAAAAGAAAAAUACUUAAAAUAAAUAGCUCGAAAGAUGGGCUUAAGUCCGAAACAAAAAAAAAUCAUAAAAAAUAAAAGGACCUUUCAGAAGCUCUGUUGGAAUUAGGAAGGUAAACAUCUCUUCACUUCUCAAUCUUCCAUAGAAGCACUGAUAAUUUUUCUUUAGAUUGUUUCAGCGCCCUUCAUUUUUUGCUUUCGUUUUACGUUUUCGUUCUUCUUUCAGAUACAUGUAUCCUUUACUUUGAUAUUUUUUUUCCUCUUUCUUGUAGCUUUAGCCUCAAAACACAGAUAGUGUGCUCUUUUUUUAAUUCCCCCCACCCCCCCACCCCCUCCCUCCAUCAGAUCCAAGACAACCAGCUCGACAAUAGCUUUCAAUUUUCAAUUGCAGCUAGAUCUAUUCCAGAUCUGGUGAUCCUUGCCUCUGACACGAGCUGAGGGGGAGAUUUUAUGAAAAUUUUUAUUGAGGAAUGAGUUGCGUCGCUGCAUUUGAGGUUUAUAUACUUAGUAGAUAAUAUUAUACAUUUUUUUUAUAAUUUUGUAUAUUAUUGCAUAAUGAUGUAUAAUGUUAUAUACAUUUGUAUAGUAAUAUACAUAAUUAUACAAAUAUAUACAUACGUAUGUAUCAUGUUUAAACAUGUAUCUACAUUGUAUAAGUGUGUAUAAAAUGGAUAGGAAAAAGAAAGUCACCAAAAAAAUGACUCUUAUUGUAUAUACAGCAAUAUAUAAAUUUGUACAUUGUUAUUAUACAAAAUAGAGGGUUUCGUCUUAUUCCUCGAACUCAAUACAACAACAAUAUACUCAGUGUAUUCCCACCUAAUGGGGUUUGGGGAGGGUAGAGUGUAUGCGGACCAUACCACUACUUCAAGAGAAGUAAAGAGGUUGUUUCCGAUAGACCUCCGACUUAGGACCAAUAACAGUAUAACCAAUACAAAAAGUAAGUGCAUAUAAACUAGUAUGGUACACAAAACAAACUAAGAGUAUAACAAACACAAAAGAUAAGUGUAUAAUAAACUAGUACAGGAUGUAAAAAAGCCAACACCACUAGCCCUAAAAACUACAGCCACAACACUACGAACUAGAAACUCAGUGUCAGAUGAGUCAUUGAUUUAGUAUCUCAGUGUCAGUACUGAGUUCAGUCUGCAAUAAAGUGGUAUCUUGGUUUCAGUAUCUAGCGUUGCAAUAAUUGUGUUCAUGUUCUGUGCAUUCAUGUAUAUGUUCUCGUGCAACAUUUUCAUGACUAUUCAGUUUACAUAUUGUGCAUGCAUGAGCCUUUGCAUUUAGCCUUACCUUAUUUAUAUACUCGAUAAAAUUUUAUACUGACACAUUUGCGCUAUGGUUUUUUAUUUGACACCAUAGUUUCAGAGGCAUAGGAUUCAAAGCUUCCUUAGCAGUUCAGUCCCAGUUAGCAGCAGUAGUAGUGAGUCCUAUUCCUUCGAGGACGAAUCUCAGUUUACUAUUAAUGCAUCAGAUUUGGUUUAUAUUCUCAGUGGACAGAGUUAGUUGGGGACAUGUCCCAUCAACUCCAUAGUUCAGAUAGUUUAGAGGCUUUUUAGACAGAUGUUGAUGUAAUAGUAUUCAGUUUUCAGUUUGAGUAUGUAUAGAUCUGUUGAACCCUAUGGCUAGUUUCCACAUUUAUUUCAGAUAUUAUGCAGUGUACAGGUACAGAUAUCAGUAAAGGAUUAGCUUGUGGUCCUUCGGGUCCAUAAGCACCAUGUGAUGUCACGAGAUGGGAUCUCGGGGCAUUACAUCAUUAUAGUAUGAAUAUAAUAUUAUUAGUUUAUGAUGGGAUUUUGGUCUUGGAGGUAUAUUUAGUAUGGAUUGUAUCUUGUAUCCGAUUAAGAAAUCAUAAUUAAGCAUACUUGGCAUGAUUGCUUGUUCUUAAGGGAGAUUUUCUAUAUUAGGACUAAAUUAUGGCUUAUUUAAUAUCUAGUAGUGCAAUUAGAUACCUUCUCCUAGUUUGGGGGAAAUUUACCUUAGAAUGAAUUUCAGAAAUAGGAGUGGGACCCUCCGACCCACUUAAGGCCAAGAUUGGCAUUAACUUCGUGUAGGACCUAUAUGCCUUGCGCAUUAUUUAAUAUACAUUUUUUAGUCUAAUGAGAUUUAUUUUCAUGAUUCUUUCUUCUAGUUUGGUACCUGGGAGAUGGUAUGAGUUCUGGUUCAAGUCCGGCAAAUGAUGAUAUGAGUAUUGGUUCAAGUUCAGUAAAUAAUGAUGUGAGUUUUGGUUUAAGUCGGGUUCAUUCAACUCAUUCUACAUAAUUUCACAUUCAAAACCAAUUUGCAUUAUGUAAUCAUACAUAGCACUUACCAAGUACAUCUCAUUUAUUCCUAAUAACAAAAAAUUUAGAAAAAUUACUCCUAAAAAUUCAAAAGGGAUAACGGGUUCAAAAGGCUCCCCCUAGAAAAAGAACCAAAAAGAACAACCAAGGGGUGGGUGAAAUGUGAUACAACUAGACAGAUACCAACAAACAUUGAAAAUUGACAAUAAUCAAAUUUAAAUUCUUUUUGCAAUUUUUUUUUAAAUUUUGUCAAAACUGGAAAAUGUCUAAAAAUUGAAAUCCCAUAACUUUACCAUGAACAAUCAGAAGAUUUCCUACCCUACACUUAAAAUCACACUUCAUCCCCAAAUUAUAAAUUAAAAGUAAGGAUAGAAAUACUCCCUGAGGCCUCUAAGACUAGCUA